AGUGAACGCUGGCGGUAGGCCUAACACAUGCAAGUCGAACGGCAGCACAGAGGAGCUUGCUCCUUGGGUGGCGAGUGGCGGACGGGUGAGGAAUACAUCGGAAUCUACUCUGUCGUGGGGGAUAACGUAGGGAAACUUACGCUUAUACCGCAUACGACCUACGGGUGAAAGCAGGGGAUCUUCGGACCUUGCGCGAUUGAAUGAGCCGAUGUCGGAUUAGCGAGUUGGCGGGGUAAAGGCCCACCAAGGCGACGAUCCGUAGCUGGUCUGAGAGGAUGAUCAGCCAAACUGGAACUGAGACACGGUCCAGACUCCUACGGGAGGCAGCAGUGGGGAAUAUUGGACAAUGGGCGCAAGCCUGAUCCAGCCAUACCGCGUGGGUGAAGAAGGCCUUCGGGUUGUAAAGCCCUUUUGUUGGGAAAGAAAUCCAUCUGGUUAAUACCCGGGUGGGAUGACGGUACCCAAAGAAUAAGCACCGGCUAACUUCGUGCCAGCCGCCGCCGUAA
RNAcentral lists this ribosomal RNA (506 nucleotides) under uncultured bacterium. Its description in RNAcentral is "partial 16S ribosomal RNA". It matches the Rfam family "Bacterial small subunit ribosomal RNA", at positions 29 to 523 of the family's 1533-position model. The record is from RNAcentral.